GCACCAAUGGUCAGUGAGUGUGGUGCACCUGUGUGAGGGAAGCACCUGACAUCAGGAGAAGCUGGUAUGUCACACACUGAGAGGCAGAAGACAGUCGGAUAUGCACACACUAAUGUUCACAUGACAGUCUGCAAAAGGGCAAAUUACUCAACAGAGACGGGGAAGAACAGCAGUUGACAGUGGGAGGAGUUAGAACGCAAUGCAGCAACAAGCCACAGCUGUUUUGUAAGAGCA
This 234-nucleotide long non-coding RNA is filed under the name Rattus norvegicus (Norway rat). RNAcentral's name for it is "long non-coding RNA NONRATT002936". The record is from RNAcentral. Lineage: Eukaryota; Metazoa; Chordata; Mammalia; Rodentia; Muridae.